Long non-coding RNA from Choloepus didactylus (southern two-toed sloth), 733 nucleotides. RefSeq lists it as uncharacterized. NCBI's taxonomy places the organism in Eukaryota, Metazoa, Chordata, Mammalia, Pilosa, Megalonychidae. The record is from RefSeq and is a predicted model, not a curated record. The transcript has 2 exons.
GGGGGCGCGGCGGCGGGCACGCGGUGGGAGGCCCGCGGGCGUGUGCGGGUGCGGCCUGGGGCACCCGCAGCGGGCCCGGCGCCGCGGCGGGCGUCCCGCGGCCCAGGGUGGGGGCGGCGGCGCCCACCAGCCGCCGUCCAGGCCGUCGUGCGAGCAGCUGAUGAUGGCGCGGCGGCGGCAGGCAGCUCUAGACUGGCGCAGUGGCGGCAGUGCCAGGCGGGCCGGGCCGCUGCGCGGGGGCAGGUAGUCCCAGCUGCCGGCGCGCCAGCCCCCGAGCUUGUCGACCGACCAGUAGCGGCCGGGCGGCGGCCCCAGGCGCUCGGCGUACGGGUAGGGGAAGUCGGCAAACCACCAGGGCUCCAGGCCGCCCAGCGACGCGCCGCCCAGGCUCUCCGAAUCCUCCGAGUCCGACGGCGAGGGUUCGAGGUCGAGAUUGGGAGUCGGAGGCCCAGGAAACUGAUCUGGACUGCCCUGGGUCCUUAUGCCAAGCCAUGCUUUCCACGGCUUGGCGGGAAGAGGGACAGGGAUGUGGGAUCUGGUCUCCAGCCCGGCACAUCAAGGAACAGCUACUCUUCUUCAGGAUUGCCACCCUUUUCAUGAAUUUCUGUGAUUAUCUGAUUCCUCUCAGCCUCUCCCACUAGAUUGUACGCCCCGGCCAGCCAGCCCCAUUCUCAGCUCUGGCCCCAGCACACUCUGGCACCUAGGGGUGAUCAAUAAAUAUUUGCAGAGUAAA